UUCCACCUGUAAUGCUGCUCACUGUAUCUUUUUCCACAGUAGAUCAUCACUGCUCUGAACCUGUGGUCUCAUUUAUUUAAAAAGCCUCUUCCCCUGUUUCCUGAAGAUGCAAGGGAAAUGAAAACCAACUUUUCAGAGCUGUCUUCCAUCCCAAAGGUCUGACUGAAUUCCCAACAGCAGGAAAUUGGGAGUGUGUCCUACAGUCUGCUUUGGUGAUCCUUGGUGAGCAGGGCUCUUGAACAUCCCAUGAUGGGCAUCUCGUCUAUGGUGGGACAUGCUAAUUGCAUUUUAAAUCAAAAUGUUCUCCAUGACUGACUGCUUUGCAGCACUAGGUUAAUCCCGUUUAUUCAGCAAACACAUGUAAGAGCAACUUGGAGGGGGAAAAAAAAAGGAGAAGCUGGAAACUGCCUUUUUAUAUUUGCAGUGCUAGGACAGAGGAACGAGUCUUUCCCUAGCGACGCAGCCCAGUGCACACACGGUCCUCGAGCAUCCCCAGACCGACGGCACAGCAGUCAUGGGCCUGCAGGUGAAUGAAUACAUGUAAAGUAACCUGGGUAUCUCUCAGAGUGGAUCUGGUUUGUUUUCUGAAGCUGCCUAUAGGUAAAGAGACAUCCGUACAUUCACACAGGGACGAGGAUAUAAAGGUAUUAUUUUGACGUGACGAGCCCUGCUUGGAAAAUGUCUUCAACUCAUCCAAAGUUGUUGCCACUUUUGCUGCCUUUGCCUUGGAGAAGUCGGGUAAUUCUCCGGCCCCUUUGAAAUAUGUCUUGUCUGCACGGAAUUUCUGCCAACAAACCAACCGAUAGAUAUGGACAAAUACACCCUUGGCACAGGAUGAAUGAGCAAAGUGGCAUCCCAGCUCCCUCCCAGCCAGCCGGGGACAUGGGAGCAAAGAGCCAAGACAGCCAACACCACACCGUGC
Non-coding RNA from Phalacrocorax carbo (great cormorant), 922 nucleotides. The record is from RefSeq and is a predicted model, not a curated record. Lineage: Eukaryota; Metazoa; Chordata; Aves; Suliformes; Phalacrocoracidae.